ACUCAUGGCUCAAUGGUUGAGCAUCGGCAUGUCAUGCUGAAAGAUCAGGGUCCGAUCCCUGAAUGAAUA
Molecule: transfer RNA, 69 nt
Filed under: Daphnia magna
Lineage: Eukaryota; Metazoa; Arthropoda; Branchiopoda; Diplostraca; Daphniidae
Rfam family: tRNA
About the family: Transfer RNA (tRNA) molecules are approximately 80 nucleotides in length. Their secondary structure includes four short double-helical elements and three loops (D, anti-codon, and T loops). Further hydrogen bonds mediate the characteristic L-shaped molecular structure. tRNAs have two regions of fundamental functional importance: the anti-codon, which is responsible for specific mRNA codon recognition, and the 3' end, to which the tRNAs corresponding amino acid is attached (by aminoacyl-tRNA synthetases). tRNAs cope with the degeneracy of the genetic code in two manners: having more than one tRNA (with a specific anti-codon) for a particular amino acid; and 'wobble' base-pairing, i.e. permitting non-standard base-pairing at the 3rd anti-codon position.
Source: Rfam by way of RNAcentral